Molecule: long non-coding RNA, 423 nt
Filed under: Mus spicilegus (steppe mouse)
Lineage: Eukaryota; Metazoa; Chordata; Mammalia; Rodentia; Muridae
Description: lncRNA (ENSMSIG00000006454.1)
Source: RNAcentral
GUCACACUGGAUCAAAGCUAUCAAGUCAAGAUGUGCAUGCUAGGGGUAUUGCUGUCUCUUGCCACAUGCCCGGAACAAGGAAACAGUCAUCUGGAAGAAUCAUUUGAACAUGAAAAGAAGUGGAAUAGAAGACCUUGCAUGCUCUCUCCUGCUCUCAUAGUUUCCUCUAGGUUCACUUCCUAUCUCUCAUCAACUCGAGCUGCUGAAGUCAUGAUCUGUGAGCUCAAAAUGAAAGAUAUUAUUCUCACAGCCUUUGAGGAAACACCCAGGAAGGAGGAAUGCACAGUGUUGUCAGGACCCAUGUUAGGACUCAUCCACAGCUGGCACAGUCUGACUCAUCCCAGGCAAACACCCAGAGUGAAGUUGUAUGAAAGAGACAGCAGUGAUCAAAGGGAAAAUGUGUGUUCAUCCUUUAUUCUGUAA